This 494-nucleotide ribosomal RNA is filed under the name uncultured bacterium. RNAcentral's name for it is "partial 16S ribosomal RNA". It matches the Rfam family "Bacterial small subunit ribosomal RNA", at positions 28 to 507 of the family's 1533-position model. The record is from RNAcentral.
GACGAACGCUGGCGGCGUGCUUAACACAUGCAAGUCGAACGGUGAAGCGCUUUCCUUUUUGGUGGGUGUGGUUGCGUGGCGAACGGGAGAGUAACACGUGCGUAACCUGCCCCUUUCUCUAGCAUAACCGCAUGAAAGUGUGGACAAUACGGGAUAUUCUGGGUCUGUGGCAUGAUGGGUAUGGGUAAGCUAUUGUUUCGGUGGGGGCUGGGCGUGCGGCCUAUCAGCUUGUUGGGGGGGAGAUGGGCUUUCAGGGCGGUGGCGGGUCGCCGGGCUGCGAGGGUGGACGGCCACACGGGGAGUGAGACACGGCCGGGACUCCGACGGGGGCCAGCAGUGGGGAAUAGGGCACAGUGGGCGCAAGCCUGAUGCGGCGGCACCGCGUAAGGGAUAGAGGCCUGCGGGUUGAGAACCUCUUUCGCUAGUGAAGCAGGCCUGCCUGGUUUGUGGGUGGGUUGACGGUAGCUGGAUAAGAAGCGCCGGCUAACUACGUG